UGGGGAAUCUUCCGCAAUGGGCGCAAGCCUGACGGAGUGACGCCGCGUGGGGGACGAAGGCCUUCGGGUCGUAAACCCCUGUCAGAGGGAAAGAGGGGUGGUGCGGUGAACAGCCGCAUCACUUGACGGUACCUUCAGAGGAAGCACCGGCUAACUCCGUGCCAGCAGCCGCGGUAAUACGGAGGGUGCAAGCGUUGUCCGGAAUCACUGGGUGUAAAGGGUGUGUAGGCGGAUCAAGAAGUCAGGGGUGAAAUCCCGCAGCUCAACUGUGGAACUGCCUUUGAUACUGCUGAUCUUGAGUAUCGGAGAGGUCACCAGAAUUCGUGGUGUAGCGGUGAAAUGCGUAGAUAUCACGAGGAAUACCUGAGGCGUAGGCGGGUGACUGGACGAUUACUGACGCUGAGGCACGAAAGCGUGGGGAGCAA
RNAcentral lists this ribosomal RNA (425 nucleotides) under uncultured bacterium. RNAcentral describes it as "bacterial SSU rRNA". It matches the Rfam family "Bacterial small subunit ribosomal RNA", at positions 355 to 771 of the family's 1533-position model. The record is from RNAcentral.